UCCAGACUCCUACGGGAGGCAGCAGUGGGGGAUAUUGCACAAUGGGGGAAACCCUGAUGCAGCGACGCCGCGUGUAGGAAGACGGUCCUCUGGAUUGUAAACUACUGUCCCCAGGGACGAAGAUGACGGUACCUGGGGAGGAAGCUCCGGCUAACUACGUGCCAGCAGCCGCGGUAAUACGGGGGAUGCAAGCGUUGUCCGGAAUCAUUGGGCGUAAAGAGUUCGUAGGUGGCACGUUAAGUCUGGUGUUAAAUGCAGAGGCUCAACCUCUGUUCGGCACUGGAUACUGGCGAGCUUGAAUGCGGUAGAGGUAAAGGGAAUUCCUGGUGUAGCGGUGAAAUGCGUAGAUAUCAGGAGGAACAUCGGUGGCGUAAGCGCUUUACUGGGCCGUAAUUGACACUGAGGAACGAAAGCCAGGGUAGCAAAUGGGAUUAGAUACCCCUGUAACC
Molecule: ribosomal RNA, 449 nt
Filed under: uncultured bacterium
Lineage: Bacteria
Description: bacterial SSU rRNA
Rfam family: Bacterial small subunit ribosomal RNA
Source: RNAcentral